Long non-coding RNA from Diabrotica virgifera virgifera (western corn rootworm), 966 nucleotides. RefSeq lists it as uncharacterized. NCBI's taxonomy places the organism in Eukaryota, Metazoa, Arthropoda, Insecta, Coleoptera, Chrysomelidae. The record is from RefSeq and is a predicted model, not a curated record. The transcript is spliced from 3 exons.
AUUCUUCUUUAACAUUACUCAUCUUCUUAUCUAUUUUGAAUUAAUUCAUGCAUUGUGCUAGAAAUCCGCUGUCCGCUUACCAUACUUGGCACAUGAAGCGACAAGAAUCUACAGGUCGAGCAAGUCUCGUAAAUUUCACGAUUGCGAGCCACGCUUCACGCAACCGUGUUUGCGUACUUGUGUUUCAAGUUGCGUGGUCGUACGGAGUUAUAUUUACCAAAUUUAAAUAUAAUCGUUUUCAAAAUUAAAUCAAUAUGUCAAUAUGGCUACUGGGUGUAAAAGAUAAAUCUUAUUCUAUCUGUUCUUAAUGAGUUUUAGAUAAUUUUAGUUGUAUUUCUUUGUAAUUUUGUGUUGUACAAAGAUUAAUUUAACAUUUUCUCUGGAAGUAUUAAUUUAGAAAGAUAAUAUGCUUCAUUGGUGUUGUGUUUUGAAGUGUGAAAUGUGAUAAGUCAAGAUAAAGUUCACUUUUAAACUGAACUAAAUAAGGUAUCUGAGAGACAACAAUGGUUAAAUGCAAUACAAUGUACAGGUUUUACUAGCGAAAUGAAAAUUUUCCUGUCCUGUCUGCUGUAAUCAUUUUAUAUCUGGAAAACCAGCCGACUUAAUAGAUAAUAACAAUCUCCAGAUUGGGUUCCUUCAAUAAAUAUGGUCUAUAAACACAAUGAAAUAAGUUCCCCAAAAUCUAAAAUGGAGUGGUAUCAAAGGAGAAUUAAAGGGAAAAAUAUUCAUAUUGAAAUUAUUUAUAAGGCACUGGACUGUCUUAAAUUCUACAAUAAUACUAGAAUCAGCUGAGAGAAGUGGUCUACAAAAAAAACCAGGAAGGAAACGGAAUAUGUGGCUACGAAAGGCAAAAGAAAGGUUUACAAAGCAAAUGUGACACAUUUUUUUGAAAUAUUUAGGAAUAUCAGUAAAUUGCAUUAAAAAAAUGUAUGAAAAGAUUUUGUUCAAUAAAAAUGUUUAUAUUUA